AUACUUACCCUGGCAGGGCAGCUACCAUGAUCAUGAAGGUGGUUUUCCCAGGGUGAAGCUUAUCCAUUGCACUCUAAUGUGAUGACUCCUGUGAUUUCCCCAAAUGUGGGAAACUUGACUGCAUAAUUUGUGGUAGCGGGGGACUGCAUUCACACUCUCCUUGA
Pteronotus mesoamericanus is the source of this 164-nucleotide small nuclear RNA. RefSeq annotates it as U1 spliceosomal RNA. NCBI's taxonomy places the organism in Eukaryota, Metazoa, Chordata, Mammalia, Chiroptera, Mormoopidae. The record is from RefSeq and is a predicted model, not a curated record. The transcript has a single exon.